This 253-nucleotide ribosomal RNA is filed under the name uncultured bacterium. RNAcentral's name for it is "partial 16S ribosomal RNA". It matches the Rfam family "Bacterial small subunit ribosomal RNA", at positions 524 to 776 of the family's 1533-position model. The record is from RNAcentral.
UACAGAGGUCUCAAGCGUUGUUCGGAUUCAUUGGGCGUAAAGGGUGCGUAGGUGGUUGGGUAAGUCAAAUGUGAAAUCCCGGAGCUCAACUCCGGAACUGCAUUCGAUACUGCCCGGCUCGAGGAUUGGAGAGGAGACUGGAAUUCACGGUGUAGCAGUGAAAUGCGUAGAGAUCGUGAGGAACACCCGUGGCGAAGGCGGGUCUCUGGACAAUUCCUGACACUGAGGCACGAAAGCCGGGGGAGCGAACCGG